RNAcentral lists this transfer RNA (75 nucleotides) under Pseudomonadota bacterium. RNAcentral describes it as "tRNA-Met". It matches the Rfam family "tRNA". From Rfam's summary of the family: Transfer RNA (tRNA) molecules are approximately 80 nucleotides in length. Their secondary structure includes four short double-helical elements and three loops (D, anti-codon, and T loops). Further hydrogen bonds mediate the characteristic L-shaped molecular structure. tRNAs have two regions of fundamental functional importance: the anti-codon, which is responsible for specific mRNA codon recognition, and the 3' end, to which the tRNAs corresponding amino acid is attached (by aminoacyl-tRNA synthetases). tRNAs cope with the degeneracy of the genetic code in two manners: having more than one tRNA (with a specific anti-codon) for a particular amino acid; and 'wobble' base-pairing, i.e. permitting non-standard base-pairing at the 3rd anti-codon position. Lineage: Bacteria; Pseudomonadati; Pseudomonadota. The record is from RNAcentral. RNAcentral also lists the same sequence under 3 other names.
GGCGGCGUAGCUCAGCUGGUUUAGAGCGGCGGAUUCAUAACCCGCAGGUCUCCGGUUCAAGUCCGGACGCCGCUA